UGUUCGGAUCGCUGUGACGUAGGUGGUUCGCUGCCCGCGACUCUGCGAGAAGUCCAUUGAACCUUAUCAUUUAGAGGAAGGAGAAGUCGUAACAAGGUUUCCGUAGGUGAACCUGCGGAAGGAUCAUUG
This 129-nucleotide ribosomal RNA is filed under the name Hapalorchis sp. JANB-2018. RNAcentral's name for it is "partial 18S ribosomal RNA". It matches the Rfam family "Eukaryotic small subunit ribosomal RNA", at positions 1707 to 1831 of the family's 1831-position model. Lineage: Eukaryota; Viridiplantae; Streptophyta; Magnoliopsida; Asparagales; Orchidaceae. The record is from RNAcentral.